GGAAAUUGUAUGCUGCUGCGCCCAAGUAGCUGAUGAUCACUUCAGGGAGUACCUCCACAGCAUUUAACAUGCAGAAGUACAGUGCUACUUAGUUCACAUGAUCUGAACCGGUUCCAGAAUGCAGUUACACCAACCAUGAUCAAAACCAGCAGACGUGGUAACUCGGGCCUGCUUUACUUUAUAAGGAGACGUGCCUCCCUGUGGGUAGUAAACAGAAGCUUAUUUUGCACAAGGAGCAUCUGCUAGAAUCACCACAACCAGAAGAGAUGAUACAGAGCCUUUUGGAGCAGGAAAGCAAUGCACAUCAGUCUUGAAAAAACACAGACUGUGUACAGUGCCCGUGUUCUAGGAUGCUGUAGAGCUAUAGGCGCUAGAAGUAAAAUACGUCAAAGAAGAGGAAUAAACAGUGGCACAAUGUUCUUUCAACAAGCAAUCCUCCUCCUUGAGAUGAGGCCAGCUUUCAAAGAACAUCAAUGAUGAAAUCCAUACAAAUGCAAUGUACCUGUUAAAAACACGUUACGCGCUACAAGGAAAGGAAAUGAGACAAAAUGAAGGUGGAGGCAGUUUCUUGAAUAGUUGGAUUUUGAUGAGAAGCCAAGUACUAAAAAUGUCUCUCUUCUGUCACACUGUUUUCCAGUUGUCCUUUCAGCCUCAAACCUUCUAACUACAGUAGUACUGCAUCCUAUUAGUCCGUCGUCUUUUCCGUGACUGAAAUUCUUCAAAGAAGUGCUGAAUGUCUUCUCUUUUAACAACC
RNAcentral lists this long non-coding RNA (754 nucleotides) under Gallus gallus (chicken). Its description in RNAcentral is "long non-coding RNA NONGGAT007784". Lineage: Eukaryota; Metazoa; Chordata; Aves; Galliformes; Phasianidae. The record is from RNAcentral.